AGGGUUAGCGUUGAACCGGGAUGUGGACAUGAAGCUAGUGUUAGGGUUGAACUGGGAUGUGGACAUGAAGCUAGUGGUACGGUUGAACUAGGAUGUGGAUAUGAAGCUAGGGUUAGCAUUGAACCGGGAUGUGGAAAUGCAGCUAGGGUUAGGGUGGAACCAGGAUGUGGACAUGAAGCUAGGGUUAGGGUUGAACUGGGAUGUGGACAUGAAGCUAGGGUUAGGGUUGAACCAGGAUGUGGACAUGAAGCUAGGGGUAGGGUUGAACCAGGAUGUGUACAUGAAGCUAGGGUUAGGGUUGAACCAGGAUGUGUACAUGAAGCUAGGGUUAGGUUUGAACCAGGAUGUGGACAUGAAGCUAGGGUUAGGGUUGAACCAGGAUGUGGACAUGAAGCUAGGGGUAGGGAUGAACCAGGAUGUGGACAUGAAGCUAGGGUUAGGGUUGAACCAGGAUGUGGACAUGAAGCUAGGGGUAGGGAUGAACCAGGAUGUGGACAUGAAGCUAGGGUUAGGGUUGAACCAGGAUGUGGACAUGAAGCUAGGGUUAGGGUUGGAGUUGAACCAAGAUGUAGACAUGAAGCUAGGGUUAGGGUUGAACCAUGAUGUGGGCAUGAAG
Molecule: long non-coding RNA, 616 nt
Organism: Oncorhynchus tshawytscha (Chinook salmon)
Lineage: Eukaryota; Metazoa; Chordata; Actinopteri; Salmoniformes; Salmonidae
Source: Ensembl